RNAcentral lists this ribosomal RNA (427 nucleotides) under uncultured bacterium. RNAcentral describes it as "bacterial SSU rRNA". It matches the Rfam family "Bacterial small subunit ribosomal RNA", at positions 355 to 774 of the family's 1533-position model. The record is from RNAcentral.
UGGGGAAUAUUGGACAAUGGGGGGAACCCUGAUCCAGCAAUGCCGCGUGUGUGAAGAAGGCCUGAGGGUUGUAAAGCACUUUUAGUGGGGAGGAGGGUAUUUAGGUUAAGAGCUAGAAUACUGGACGUUACCUACAGAAACAGCACCGGCUAACUCCGUGCCAGCAGCCGCGGUAAUACGGAGGGUGCAAGCGUUAAUCGGAAUUACUGGGCGUAAAGGGUGCGUAGGUGGUUAUAUAAGUUAUCUGUGAAAUCCCCGGGCUCAACCUGGGCAGGUCAGAUAAGACUGUGUAACUCGAGUAUAGGAGAGGGUAGUGGAAUUUCCGGUGUAGCGGUGAAAUGCGUAGAGAUCGGAAGGAACACCAGUGGCGAAGGCGGCUACCUGGCCUAAUACUGACACUGAGGCACGAAAGCGUGGGGAGCAAACA